UUUGAAAGGGGUAAGUUUGGGCUGGGCCUAUUGAAUGAUGUGCUGGCCCCUUUCACUGCUAUUGAUUCGCCUCUGUUGUUCCUCUUCGCGUAGGCACAGCGUCAUCUUCCUCCUCGCGUAGCCACAGUUCUCGCUGCAGAUCUAAGUGCGUACGCCAUGGACCCCUAGAUCUGCUCUACUCUUCUCUAGGUCGUCUUUCCCGUAUCUCCUUUGCUGGAAGCUAUAACCUUCGAAAGUUCACCUGUUUCCUUGCACGAUUCAAGCUUCGAUGCACUCCAUCAGUGAUCUAUGAUCUACACCCUACCUCGAAAACCAGCUUUUGAUUCUGCUUUCCAGGUUGUGUGGCUACACCCUAGAUCAGAGGAAAAUGAUUUCUUCCUCACUCUGGCCGCAGCUUCCUAUCGUCAAUCUCAUCCACCACCAAUGUCUACCCUUUUCUUCCUCACUCUGCUAUGCUUUACAGGCCUGAGAUCAGCAUCUCUAGACUGCAGAGUAGCACUUUUCCCCUCUGCUUCUACGGUCAGUAUUUUCCGGCGAGCUGCAACCCUACAGCGAGGUCAUCAUCCCUUGCUGCCAAACAACAGCUGUCCAAGUUGCUUUACAGGUUGUGUGCCUACACCCUACGUCCCUCAAUCUCCUUGACAGCUUGGCUGAAUUGAUGCAUGCCCCAAUUUAUGCUUAUAAAUUGAACCAUUGUCUGUGAGGAUGUUCAUCUGUUCGUUGAUCAACCAGUUCCCACUCUUUCUGCCGCAGAGACUGUGAAGUGCUAUUGCAGGUGUGUAGGCAUGUUGUGGCAGAUGCAGUUAUCAUGCGUUUUUGCUAUUAGUGCAUGAUGUGGUUGUGGACUUAUGACUGCCACUGAACCGAGAUGUAUGCGAUCUGCAAUUCAAUAUCAAAGUCCAUUCCUUUUCUGAUGCUUUGAUCAGUUAAUCUUCGUAAUCUGAAUGAGAGAUAUGAGUGGGAAUGUGAAUUGCAUAAGGAUCGUGUGUCCUGGGAAAAAUACUUACAAUCACUGCUUGAGGAGGGAGUGUCUACACUUGAUACCUCACAAAAAUUCUCAUUUGCUAAUAUGUGGCUUCUAGCAGCCCAAUUUGAAAUAUGUCAACUGAAUCUCAAGGGUGCUCAUGUAAUAUUAGGAACUGCUAUUGGAAAGGCUCCUAAAGAUAAGAUUCUUAAGAAGUAUAUAGAGAUAGAACUGCAGCUUGGUAACAUUGAUCGAUGCAGAAAAUUGUAUGAAAAAUAUUUGGAGUGGGCGCUUGAAAAUUGCUAUGCUUGGAGCAAGUAUGCAUAAUUGGAGAGAUCUUUAUCUGAGACUGAUCGAGCUAGAUCAAUAUUUGAGCUUGCAAUUGCCCAGCCAGCAUCGGAUAUGCCUGAACUGUGUUGGAAGGUUGUUUGCCUAUGAUCUACCCCAUCGUCUAUCAUCGAUCAGCUAUACUAUUUUUCCAAUUCAUUUACAGUUGUCAAUUCGUUGCUAUACAGCUUGCAGUUCGUGGCUAAAAAUAUAACUAAGUUGUGAAUGAACCAUUGAGUUCAUAUGCUAUUCACAUUGUUCUAGUUGAUGUCGAGGUUUAGUCCUAACCAUAUAUGUUAAUCUGAUUAGUAUAUAAUUUUUAAUUUAUUUUUCUUUCCCUCUUUUUAAUGAAACUGAGUUUGUGUGCAUUUGUGUUAAUUUGUAAUUUAAUUAUGACUUACAAGUUCUCUUUAGGGGUGUUAGGCUAGGAAUCAUUAUUUGGGAUCAAUGAGGAUUGACUUCAGUUGGAGUCCUGGUAUAUUGGUCUUAGUAACUGUAUCAGUAGGAGUUACUUCAUUUACCCUCAACCUUGCCCUGAUGGUAUUAUUUAACCCAUGUCUUCAAUUGGAGUCCUGGUAUUAUUUCCAGAGACUCGGGCAUAAGGAGCAUUGAUUCCCAUUUUAGUUUGUUUAGUCUUUGAAGUUUAUAGAAGAAGUUAUUUAUAUUCAUUAACGAAAUGAAAAAAAUUGCAGUCCUAAUCAUAGUUUAUCUGUGUGGAUGUAGAGGGUGGGGACAUAAACUGUAUAGGAGCAAUUUUCUCAAAAGAAGACAUGGUGAUUAUGUUCACUAACAAUGAAAGUAUUAUCAUGAAAGUUUUCCAACCAAUCACUACGCAGGAGAUAUACUGAAAAGUUAGGCAUGAGUUUUGAUAAGCUCAUCACUUUAAGUUUCAUUUCUAUUCAUAGUUUUCUGGUUCUGUUUGUUUCAUUCUUCCGCAUGCUUUACUUUCUAUGGUCACUUUGUGGUGGAGCAAACACCACUCUGACACUUCAAAUUAUCCGCAUCAUUUAGACCUUGAUUUCAAAAGUGUAAUGCAAUACUUUCUUUAGCCAUCUUUGAGCUGAUAUGUUAUUUUCAGCUGAUAUUUUUUAGCUCUUAAAAACUAAACACAUUUCAUCAUCAUGUUUCAACAACCCAUUAGUUAGUUGUAUAUUAUUGAUUGAUAUCAACAUGUAUCAUGUUGCUAAUAUCCCUCCAAGUAUAUGUUUACUAAUGUUCUAUAUUUAUAAGAUGAUCAGUUAUAUUUUUGGGUUAAAUAUUUAACCCAUGAUUUAUUACUUUUACAAGAUCUUGCCCAAUUUUCUUAUGCUACUGUUUAAGUUGUUGGCACCUCAGGAUCCUUGCAAGAUAUAGAUGAAGUUGAACUCCUUGGAUUUCUCCUGAGGCAAAAUAGGGUGUUGUGUAUGUGGUGGUCUCUACAAACCGUUUGAAUAAGGUCAUCAAGAUGAUAAAGACAAGUGACAGUCAGGUUGGAAAUUAAGCAUUACAUUAGGCAGACUGCUCUGGUGUCUCUCAUUUUCUUUUUAAUGGUUUUUGGUGAAUAUGUACUGUUCAGAUUUUCCAAUUGUCUUAAAUGUUUGUAAAUGGUUCAAACACAUGAAGGCUGUAAAGUUUUGUUAGGAUAUGGCAAAUAGGAAGUUUUGUGAUUUUAUUUGUUAAGCUCUUCUACAUUUUUCAUCUUAUCGAUUUAUAAGUAAGUUAGGUCGUACUCAUACUGUUGAAAGCACGUAAGGGAAUAUAUUAAGUCGUUUUUGUUACUUGAUAAACCUUUAUAAGUUGUUAUUCAACGGAUGCUCCAGCAUUUUUAAUGAUUCAUAUCAUAGGCACAUAUGUAUCGUUUGUAAUAGUCUAUCUACAUACAUUUAUGGUUUGUCUAAGAACAAACCAUUUAAACGCAUAAAAUGAGCAGUUGUGAUAUGUGUAUACACUUGAAGGAUAAAAAUGCGAACAAAGAAAUAUAAACAGGUUCCGUGCAUCGCACGGGUAAAAUCCUAGACAGACCCAUUCGAAGCACGGUUUUCACAGGUAAAUUAGGUCUCAUUCAACUCUUCCCAUCUCUAUAUCCACGUUCGUCCACUUCUCUCUCUGUUCUCCAGAUUCUGCCCCCAUUCGAAGCGGCUAGACGAUCAACUGCGCGGCUGUUCACCUGCACGUCGCCGGCGGCGCUCCAAUCGGUCAUAACUACUUCAUUCGUAGUCACGUUGGAAGUUUUAGGAGCUACCAUGGCACAAACCAGAUUAACGAGUCUACUAGAAGGAGACAACAACUUUAUACUUAUCCACCAACCUGACCCGGACUCUACAACGCUUCCUAGGUGGUUUGUUAGAAAUAACCCCGUUAUCAGGCCGUACCAGAAUGCUCUGCACACCGAUCUCGCAGGCAACACAUUUUCAGUGAGCCUUAGAACAGUGGGUGGAGAAAUGGUAAUGGAAGGUUUUCAAGAAGUCUGUCAAGCGCACCAUAUCAAUGGAACUGUUAGGGUGCACUACACCUACAUUAAUGGUAGCCGAUUCAACAUUCGGAUUUUCUAUGAUGAGUACACGAGGUAGCUUACUUAGUUCAAGAGGAAGAGGAUUUGAUUGAUGAAGAGGAGCUUGCCUGGUUGAGUGAUAUCUCCGAGGCAAAGUCAUUUGGAAAGCAUUAUCUGCAUGUUCCUGCGAGUGUUGUGCUUGAGCGUCUUCGACACAAUCCUCCCACACUAAACAUUAUAUUACCAGAUGGAAAUCUAGAUGAGUGGGUACUGCAAUAGGCUACUGGUAGACCCAAUGCAGUUGAUUUUGGUCAUGGCUGGUACGAGUUUGGUAGGCAGAAACGAGUCUGCGCUAGGGAUCAAUAUGGGGUCUAUGAGACGCCUGAGACAGACACGUACCGCCUUGAAGUUCGCCGCCACUAGAUCAUUAAAGGGUUAUGUACUUUUAAAUGUGAUGUUUAUUUCAAAUGACUUUAAUUACCUUAUGUUCGUUUUUCAAUUUUAUUUUGUGUGUUGAGUUUGUAAAACUGUGUUGUUAACUUUCAUCUCUCAUGAGCUCAAGGGUAUGCCACUUAUGUUCAAAACAAUUGCUAUAUCUUCAGAUUUGGAUUACGGCAUGUACCAAGGCUGCUUUGUAUCACUCUAUUAUGAACUAUUUGCUAUGUCUUAUGUGUUAUUAAUUAUGGCACGAGCCUUAAGGUUCAGCUCUUAAUCGCAAUGCAAGUCUUUUUUA
This is a long non-coding RNA of Lotus japonicus, 4494 nucleotides long. RefSeq lists it as uncharacterized. The transcript has 9 exons. NCBI's taxonomy places the organism in Eukaryota, Viridiplantae, Streptophyta, Magnoliopsida, Fabales, Fabaceae. The record is from RefSeq and is a predicted model, not a curated record.